This 492-nucleotide ribosomal RNA is filed under the name uncultured bacterium. RNAcentral's name for it is "partial 16S ribosomal RNA". It matches the Rfam family "Bacterial small subunit ribosomal RNA", at positions 29 to 507 of the family's 1533-position model. The record is from RNAcentral.
AGUGAACGCUGGCGGUAGGCCUAACACAUGCAAGUCGAACGGCAGCACAGUAAGAGCUUGCUCUUACGGGUGGCGAGUGGCGGACGGGUGAGGAAUACAUCGGAAUCUACUUUUUCGUGGGGGGUAACGUAGGGAAACUUACGCUAAUACCGCAUACGACCUACGGGUGAAAGCAGGGGAUCUUCGGACCUUGCGCGAUUGAAUGAGCCGAUGUCGGAUUAGCUAGUUGGCGGGGUAAAGGCCCACCCAGGCGACGAUCCGUAGCUGGUCUGAGAGGAGGAUCGGCCACACUGGAACUGAGACACGGUCCAGACUCCUACGGGAGGCAGCAGUGGGGAAUAUUGGGCAAUGGGCGCAAGCCUGAUCCAGCCAUACCGCGUGGGUGAAGAAGGCCUUCGGGUUGUAAAGCCCUUUUGUUGGGAAAGAAAAGCAGCAGGUUAAUACCCCGCUGUUCUGACGGUACCCAAAGAAUAAGCACCGGCUAACUUCGUG